Molecule: ribosomal RNA, 462 nt
Filed under: Bacillus sp. Z1-45
Lineage: Bacteria; Bacillati; Bacillota; Bacilli; Caryophanales; Bacillaceae
Description: bacterial SSU rRNA
Rfam family: Bacterial small subunit ribosomal RNA
Source: RNAcentral
CUCAGGACGAACGCUGGCGGCGUGCCUAAUACAUGCAAGUCGAGCGGACUUAUAAAAGCUUGCUUUUGUAAGUCAGCGGCGGACGGGUGAGUAACACGUGGGCAACCUGCCUAUAAGACUGGGAUAACUUCGGGAAACCGGAGCUAAUACCGGAUAAUAUAAGGAACCUCCUGGUUCUUUAUUGAAAGAUGGUUUCGGCUAUCACUUAUAGAUGGGCCCGCGGCGCAUUAGCUAGUUGGUGAGGUAACGGCUCACCAAGGCGACGAUGCGUAGCCGACCUGAGAGGGUGAUCGGCCACACUGGGACUGAGACACGGCCCAGACUCCUACGGGAGGCAGCAGUAGGGAAUCUUCCACAAUGGACGAAAGUCUGAUGGAGCAACGCCGCGUGAGCGAUGAAGGCCUUCGGGUCGUAAAGCUCUGUUGUUAGGGAAGAACAAGUGCGAGAGUAACUGCUCGCACC